RNAcentral lists this long non-coding RNA (438 nucleotides) under Prunus persica (peach). RNAcentral describes it as "long non-coding RNA (PPER_LNC001909)". Lineage: Eukaryota; Viridiplantae; Streptophyta; Magnoliopsida; Rosales; Rosaceae. The record is from RNAcentral.
GAACUUCUUUGCGAUUGUCUCUCAGCCACACUCCCAACGUGUAAAAGACAUUGGUUUGUUUCUCAAGUGUUAUUUCAAACUAAACAGGAUUCAUAUAAUACUAAAAGUUAAGAGGUCAAAAGUAAAAGCUCUUGACCUCUUAAAUAAAUUUCUGAGCUGAGAGUAAAAGAGCUGAAAUUUUAAUAGAGACUAGUUAGACACAAAAAUUAAUUGAACCACUAGAACCAACAUCAUCACCUUCAUCUCUAACAUUCACAACAUAAGAGUUUGAAGGUGACCGAAGAUACUGCGGAAGGAUAGCCUAAAUGUCAAUUAAGAUAUUAUAUGACACCCAAAUUUCCACCAAAAUCUUAUUUCUGAGCUGUACUCUCAGCCACCAUAUUCAUCCAUUAAAGCCGAAAAGUUGUCAAAUGUAUAAAUUUGAAAAAUAAUGUCAAA